Molecule: transfer RNA, 73 nt
Filed under: Mercenaria mercenaria
Lineage: Eukaryota; Metazoa; Mollusca; Bivalvia; Venerida; Veneridae
Description: transfer RNA serine (anticodon UGA)
Rfam family: tRNA
About the family: Transfer RNA (tRNA) molecules are approximately 80 nucleotides in length. Their secondary structure includes four short double-helical elements and three loops (D, anti-codon, and T loops). Further hydrogen bonds mediate the characteristic L-shaped molecular structure. tRNAs have two regions of fundamental functional importance: the anti-codon, which is responsible for specific mRNA codon recognition, and the 3' end, to which the tRNAs corresponding amino acid is attached (by aminoacyl-tRNA synthetases). tRNAs cope with the degeneracy of the genetic code in two manners: having more than one tRNA (with a specific anti-codon) for a particular amino acid; and 'wobble' base-pairing, i.e. permitting non-standard base-pairing at the 3rd anti-codon position.
Source: RNAcentral
GUUUGAUUAGCUCAGUUGGUAGAGCAUCUGACUUGAAAGCAGAAGGUCGCACGUUCGAGUCCUGUAUCGGGCU